Molecule: non-coding RNA, 29 nt
Filed under: Homo sapiens (human)
Lineage: Eukaryota; Metazoa; Chordata; Mammalia; Primates; Hominidae
Source: RNAcentral
ACCUGUUGCUGACUACAAGAGAUGAGAGU